Molecule: non-coding RNA, 697 nt
Organism: Oncorhynchus mykiss (rainbow trout)
Lineage: Eukaryota; Metazoa; Chordata; Actinopteri; Salmoniformes; Salmonidae
Source: RefSeq, a predicted model, not a curated record
GGUAGAGGGUAUAGAUGGUACAGGUAGAGGGUAUAGAUGGUACAGGUAGAGGGUAGAAGGUAUAGAUGGUAUAGGUCAAGGGUAUAGAUGGUAUAGUUAGAGGGUAUAGAUGGUACAAGUAGAUGACAGAGGGCAUAGCUGGUAUAGGUAUAGGGUAGAGGUGAGAGGGUAUAGAUGGUACAGGUUGAGGGUAUAGACGGUACAGGUAGAGGGGAGAGGGUAUAGAUGAUAUAGGUAGAGGGUAGAGGGUGUAGAGGGUAGAGGGUAUAGAUGGUACAGGUAUAGGACAGAGGGUAUAGAUAGUACAGGUAGAGGGUAGAGGGUAUUGAGGGUGCAGGUAGAUGACAAAGGGUAUAGCUGGCAUAGGUAUAGGGUAGAGGGGAGAGGGUAUAGAUGGUACAGGUAUAGGACAGAGGGUAUAGAUGGUACAGAUAGAGGACAGAGGGUAUAGAUAGUACAGGUAGAGGGUAAAGGGUAUUGAGGGUGCAGGUAGAUGACAAAGGGUAUAGCUGGCAUAGGUAUAGGGUAGAGGGGAGAUGGUAUAGAUGGUACAAGUAGAGGAUAGAGGGUAUAGAUGGUGCAGGUAGCAAACAGAGGUUAUAAAUGGUAUAGGUAGAGGACAGAGGCUAUAGAUGGUAUAGGUAGAAGACAGAGGGUAUAGAUGGUACAGGUAGAGGGUAUAGAUGGUACAGGUAGA